This 311-nucleotide small nuclear RNA is filed under the name Nannospalax galili (Upper Galilee mountains blind mole rat). RNAcentral describes it as "7SK RNA (ENSNGAG00000005747.1)". It matches the Rfam family "7SK RNA". From Rfam's summary of the family: 7SK was discovered as an abundant small nuclear RNA in the mid-70s but a possible function has only recently been suggested. Lineage: Eukaryota; Metazoa; Chordata; Mammalia; Rodentia; Spalacidae. The record is from RNAcentral.
GGAUAUGAGAGCAAUCUGGCUAUGACAUCUGCCACCCCACUGAUUGUCAGGGUUUGAUCAGCUGAAUAGCUGAUCUUUCUGACUAGGCAGGUGUCGCCUUCCUCCUUCACCACUCCAUGUGCAUCCCUCUGGAAGCCACACUCUUGGUGAAGGAGUACAACCUUACCCAAUAGAGGAGGAUGAGUCUUCAGUCAAGGGGAUGCAAGUAGCUACUCUCCCCUGCUGGAACCUCCAAAUAAGCUCUCAAAGUCAAAAGAUAAAUGGUAAACUUUGAUGUUUUUUUAAGAAGUAGGAAUGUGUUAAAAUUCCUU